RNAcentral lists this non-coding RNA (45 nucleotides) under Trichobilharzia regenti. Lineage: Eukaryota; Metazoa; Platyhelminthes; Trematoda; Strigeidida; Schistosomatidae. The record is from RNAcentral.
AUACAGAUGACGAGUCCUAAAUACGACGAAAUGCGCAUCCUGGAU